This 468-nucleotide ribosomal RNA is filed under the name uncultured bacterium. RNAcentral describes it as "partial 16S ribosomal RNA". It matches the Rfam family "Bacterial small subunit ribosomal RNA", at positions 28 to 507 of the family's 1533-position model. The record is from RNAcentral.
GACGAACGCUGGCGGCGUGCUUAACACAUGCAAGUCGAACGGAAAGGCCCUGCUCUUGUGGGUUGCUCGAGUGGCGAACGGGUGAGUAACACGUGAGUAACCCGUCCUUGACUUUGGGAUAACUUCAGGAAACUGGGGCUAAUACCCGAUAGGAUCUCCUGCUGCAUGGUGGGCGUUGGAAAGUUUCGGCGGUUGGGGAUGGUCUCGCGGGUUAUCCGCUUGUUGGUGGGGUAGUGGCUUACCAAGGGUUUGACGGAUAGCCGGCCUGAGAGGGUGACCGGCCACAUUGGGACUGAGAUACGGCCCAGACUCCUACGGGAGGCAGCAGUGGGGAAUAUUGCACAAUGGGCGGAAGCCUGAUGCAGCAACGCCGCGUGCGGGAUGACGGCCUUCGGGUUGUAAACCGCUUUCGCCUGUGACGAAGCGUGAGUGACGGUAAUGAGUAAAGAAGCACCGGCUAACUACGUG